GACGAACGCUGGCGGCGUGCUUAACACAUGCAAGUCGAACGGAAAGGCCCUGCUUUUGUGGGGUGCUCGAGUGGCGAACGGGUGAGUAACACGUGAGUAACCUGCCCUUGACUUUGGGAUAACUUCAGGAAACUGGGGCUAAUACCGGAUAGGAGCUCCUGCUGCAUGGUGGGGGUUGGAAAGUUUCGGCGGUUGGGGAUGGACGCGCGGCUUAUCAGCUUGUUGGUGGGGUAGUGGCUUACCAAGGCUUUGACGGGUAGCCGGCCUGAGAGGGUGACCGGCCACAUUGGGCCUGAGAUACGGCGCAGACUCCUACGGGAGGCAGCAGUGGGGAAUAUUGCACAAUGGGCGGAAGCCUGAUGCAGCAACGCCGCGUGCGGGAUGACGGCCUUCGGGUUGUAAACCGCUUUCGCCUGUGACGAAGCGUGAGUGACGGUAAUGGGUAAAGAAGCACCGGCUAACUACGUG
RNAcentral lists this ribosomal RNA (468 nucleotides) under uncultured bacterium. Its description in RNAcentral is "partial 16S ribosomal RNA". It matches the Rfam family "Bacterial small subunit ribosomal RNA", at positions 28 to 507 of the family's 1533-position model. The record is from RNAcentral.